RNAcentral lists this unclassified non-coding RNA (260 nucleotides) under Hevea brasiliensis (rubber tree). The record is from RNAcentral. Lineage: Eukaryota; Viridiplantae; Streptophyta; Magnoliopsida; Malpighiales; Euphorbiaceae.
AAAGGCUUGGAUUGUUGCAAGCCUGCCCUUGCGAAUUCUGGCAAGAAGAGUGAUUUUUCUGAGGCUGUGAAAGGCCUUGAUUGCAAGUGUGAGGCGAGGCACUCUGGCGGGAAGAUGAACUGGUUCUCGCGGUGGGUGAAUUCCUGCUCGGACGACACAAAGUCUGUUUUGGCAGCGGUGACUGUUCCACUGGUGUAUGGUGCUUGCUUGGGGGAGCCAAGAUCAAUCCCCACGCGGUCGAUGUACCCGACGUUUGACGU